CUGCAUAUACAGAUCCCUUAUUCCAUGACAACUUCUAAAAGCAGAAGUAGUCAUGGUGUUUGGAGUAACCCUUAGUAUUAGCAGUUAUAAUUAAGCAUUUAGGCCCACAAUUUACAUUUGAAGAAAGGCAAUUAGUAGCAGGGCCCCAAGGAGCAGGCCCAACACAUAGUGCUGAUCCGUUUAAGGUAGCUUUCUUACAAAACAUUGGGAUAAAAGGAG
Pelobates cultripes (western spadefoot toad) is the source of this 219-nucleotide non-coding RNA. The record is from the annotation of a GenBank genome assembly. NCBI's taxonomy places the organism in Eukaryota, Metazoa, Chordata, Amphibia, Anura, Pelobatidae.